AAAAGGUGGCUAUGCUACCGCUUUUGGAUGGGCCCGCGGCGCAUUAGCUAGUUGGUGGGGUAAAGGCUUACCAAGGCAAUGAUGCGUAGCCGAACUGAGAGGUUGAUCGGCCACAUUGGGACUGAGACACGGCCCAAACUCCUACGGGAGGCAGCAGUAGGGAAUCUUCCACAAUGGGCGAAAGCCUGAUGGAGCAACGCCGCGUGGGUGAAGAAGGUCUUCGGAUCGUAAAACCCUGUUGUUAGAGAAGAAAGUGCGUGAGAGUAACUGUUCACGUUUCGACGGUAUCUAACCAGAAAGCCACGGCUAACUACGUGCCAGCAGCCGCGGUAAUACGUAGGUGGCAAGCGUUAUCCGGAUUUAUUGGGCGUAAAGGGAACGCAGGCGGUCUUUUAAGUCUGAUGUGAAAGCCUUCGGCUUAACCGGAGUAGUGCAUUGGAAACUGGGAGACUUGAGUGCAGAAGAGGAGAGUGGAACUCCAUGUGUAGCGGUGAAAUGCGUAGAUAUAUGGAAGAACACCAGUGGCGAAAGCGGCUCUCUGGUCUGUAACUGACGCUGAGGUUCGAAAGCGUGGGUAGCAAACAGGAUUAGAUACCCUGGUAGUCCACGCCGUAAACGAUGAAUGGUAAGUGUUGGAGGGUUUCCGCCCUUCA
RNAcentral lists this ribosomal RNA (653 nucleotides) under uncultured bacterium. Its description in RNAcentral is "bacterial SSU rRNA". It matches the Rfam family "Bacterial small subunit ribosomal RNA", at positions 202 to 842 of the family's 1533-position model. The record is from RNAcentral.